AGAGUUUGAUCAUGGCUCAGGAUCAACGCUGGCGGCGUGCCUAACGCAUGUAAGUCGAACGCAGGAGCCUUCGGGCUCUUGAGUGGCGAACGGCUGAGGAACACGUACGAACCUGCCCGCUUGUGGGGAAUAACCCACCGAAAGGUGUGCUAAUACCGCGUACGCUCAUCCUUUAGGGGAUGAGGAAAGCCGUGAGGCGCAGGCGGAGGGGCGUGCGGCCCAUCAGGUCGUUGGUGGGGUAAUGGCCUACCAAGCCGAUGACGGGUAGCUGGUCUGUGAGGACGAUCAGCCAGACUGGGACUGCGAAACGGCCCAGACACCUACGGGUGGCAGCAGCGAGGAAUCUUCCACAAUGGGCGAAAGCCCGAUGGAGCAACGCCGCGUGGAGGACGACGGCCUUCGGGUUGUAAACUCCUUUCGGGGGGGAUGAGACGGACAGUACCCCCAGAAGAAGCCCCGGCUAACUCUGUGCCAGCAGCCGCGGUAAUACAGAGGGGGCAAGCGUUGUCCGGAUUUACUGGGCGUACAGCGCGCGCAGGCGGAACUGGACGUGCCGUGUGACAAGCCACCGCUCACCGGUGGAGGGCCACGGUACACGACAGCUCUGGAGGCAGGGAGAGGGAUGUGGAAUGCCCGGUGGAGCGGUGAAAUGCGUAGAGAUCGGGCGGAACACCAGCGGCGAAGGCGGCAUCCUGGUCCUGACCUGACGCUGAGGCGCGAGAGCGUGGGGAGCAAACUGGAUUAGAUACCCUAGUAGUCC
Molecule: ribosomal RNA, 760 nt
Filed under: uncultured bacterium
Lineage: Bacteria
Description: bacterial SSU rRNA
Rfam family: Bacterial small subunit ribosomal RNA
Source: RNAcentral